AAUUCUCCUACAUAAACAAAAUAUUGCAAAGUAAUUGUAUUUGUAUUUUAGAAUAACUUAUAAUAUCUUGCAUUAUUAAAACAGCAUUUCUUUCCAUUCCAUACGUUUCUUAUGAAUGUAAAAACACAAUAAGUAUAUGUAUUUAUAUGAAUUCCAAAAUUAUUAACACAUGGUGGCCACUGGUCAUGGAAAACCUGGAAAUCAGGGAAAAGUCAGGGAAAUAAAGUCUGGUCGGUGAACAGAGAAAAAGUCAUGGAAUUUUAUAAUUAGUCAGGGAAAAAGCUUGGAGUUUUUAAUUAACCAGGGAAAUUUUUAACUAAUAAAAAUUUUUGAUUUUUUAGUGAGAAAAUUCAAGAAAAAGAGUUCAGGGAAAAACAAAAAAAUGUCAGGGAAAAGUCAGGGAAUUUAUUUGACUAAUUUUAGUAGCAAUCUGCAAAUCCGAUGUUAUUAACAAUUGUCAGCUUGUUAAGUGAUAUUGUAACUGAAAAUUUAAGUCUUACAAAUUUGAAAAAUAUGAAUUUGAACAAAAAAUACUACACUUUGAAGAAAAAUUCCAAAAAUCUACAAUUUUAAUAUUUUUUAUUUUAUGCGUUCAAAUUUUUAAAACUUUGCUUUUUAAUGAAGCACAAUAAAAUUAAAAAAUAAUUUACAACUUUCAAGCUUAAAAAUUGUAUACAAUUCGAACAAUCCUAAACUGUUGAUAUAUUUCUCAUAAUUUAAUACAAUUGAGGAGGUCAAUCAAAUAACUCGAUUAGCGCUUGAAACAUCGCCCUUAUGGUAUUUCGCCGCUUCAGAAAAGGAGAAAAAUUCAAACUCAACAUUUGAAUUUUUGGAAAACGCUAUCUUGUAGUAAAUAAAAAAACGCAACUUUUUUCUUCAAUACUUUUUUUCGUAGGACGAAUAUUAUUUGCAUUAAAAAUUGAAAACAACAAAAUUUUUCUUUUCAAAUUUAAUUAAAUUUUAUAACAUAAAUCGUCGUUUUGAAGAAAAAUGUGAAUGGAUUAACUUGGAAUUUGGUAUACAAACUCAGUUGGGUCUACUGAAACGAAAAAAAUCAUAGAAAACUUAAAAAUUAUUUAUUGUUUAAUUAUUUUUUAUUGUAAGCAAUGACGUGUCAGCAAUAUAACUCUUUUACAUUCAAUGACAAAAAGUAUCUAGGGAAGUUUUGAGUUGAGCAAUCGCAAGGAAGUUGUUCCUCAGUAUUCAAGGAAGUUUUCUAGAAAAUUCCAAAACAAUUUAUUGAAAAAUAAAAAAGUAAUGCAAUUUUU
Long non-coding RNA from Leptopilina boulardi, 1268 nucleotides. RefSeq lists it as uncharacterized. Lineage: Eukaryota; Metazoa; Arthropoda; Insecta; Hymenoptera; Figitidae. The transcript has 2 exons. The record is from RefSeq and is a predicted model, not a curated record.